Acinonyx jubatus (cheetah) is the source of this 1267-nucleotide long non-coding RNA. RefSeq lists it as uncharacterized. The record is from RefSeq and is a predicted model, not a curated record. The transcript is spliced from 2 exons. NCBI's taxonomy places the organism in Eukaryota, Metazoa, Chordata, Mammalia, Carnivora, Felidae.
UAUGGGGCCAAGAUCUGGGACAGUUGGGGACACUGCAGCUGGUGCAUCAGCAGCUGGCUGGAGGCCGCCUGCUCCGGGUUUGGGACAGCCUCUCCCAUUCUCUGGUGUUGCUUCUUACGGAAAUGGCUUUUCCCAGCUGUGUUUGUGGACUGCCCCCGGAGCCUCCCGGACCUGCCCUUCCUGCUAGCGAUUCAUUCACCUGCGGGAAACCUCGGAGGAGGCAGAGAUGACAACCCCUGUUUUACACACUGGGAAACUGAGGCAAAGCCACCUAUGGCAAGAGGCUCCUCCUCCAGAAAGCGGGGACAGAUGGGAACUAGGAAAGCCAGGGGUCUGGGGAGGUGCUGUGCCCUCAAAUCCACCCGCAGCUUUCGAACCUGAGCCGCUCUCCCUCCAACAGAAAGCAGCGAUUGGUUCCCGGUACCCCCCCACCCCCACCCCCGUCGGGAGGAACAACGCUCGAUGCCCAGCAAAGCUUGGUGCCGAUCGCCCCCUGCUGGAGAUGGCAGGACCUGCACGGAUCAGCCCGCCCAGGCCUCCCUGCCCCAAGACGUGGGUUCCGGGUUUCCUGUGCCAUUCUUAGUAGCUAGAGCGGUAGAUAUAAACAGCAAGAGCCCCAGACCUGAAGAACUCGGUCUGUGUUAGGGAACUGCCCGCCACACCCAGGAAUGAAGCGGUCGGAUGUUUGGUCGGCCAGGUACACAGGCCUGAGUUCCGAUGGGUGUAGAAAAGGGCAGGAGAGGGGUGUGUAAAAAGAUAGAAUAACGCAACAAUAGCAAACGCGUCAGCAAGCAUGCCCUGUGUCGGGAGCCCCUCUAGAUCUUGGGCAGCUACUAGCUCCUUUAAGUCUUGCAACUGUGUUGUCUCCAUUUUAUUGAUGGAGAGACUGGGGCAUGUCAAGUAACUUGCCCAAAGCACAGGGCUGCCACUCACCUCUCUAGAAAGCAAAACGGGACACAAGGAGGGGACUUUUUCAGUCCUGAGGUUGGGAUGCUUCUGCUCUUGCCCUCUUUUGGUGCUCAAAGCGACAACAUCCUCUCGGCCCCUCAUCUCACAAGAAUGGAAGCAUGACCUUCAAGACUAAUCCUGUUGCCUCACCGUGGCACAUACAGAAAAUGACCUUGUUAUUGCAGCCCGCAAUAGCUGCGGAACGGGGAGAGGUGUGUAGGCUUUAAUGUUGGGCUUUUUUGUUGUUGUAUAAUUCCAAGAGAAACAAAACAAUCACGUGUCCCAGAAGACUGACUUGGAAUACAAAUUCCAAAUACGA